AACGAACGCUGGCGGCAUGCCUAACACAUGCAAGUCGAACGAGACCUUCGGGUCUAGUGGCGCACGGGUGCGUAACGCGUGGGAAUCUGCCCUUGGGUUCGGAAUAACAGUUAGAAAUGACUGCUAAUACCGGAUAAUGUCUUCGGACCAAAGAUUUAUCGCCCAGGGAUGAGCCCGCGUAGGAUUAGCUAGUUGGUGAGGUAAAGGCUCACCAAGGCGACGAUCCUUAGCUGGUCUGAGAGGAUGAUCAGCCACACUGGGACUGAGACACGGCCCAGACUCCUACGGGAGGCAGCAGUGGGGAAUAUUGGGACAAUGGGCGAAAGCCUGAUCCAGCAAUGCCGCGUGAGUGAUGAAGGCCUUAGGGUUGUAAAGCUCUUUUACCCGGGAUGAUAAUGACAGUACCGGGAGAAUAAGCCCCGGCUAAACUCCGUGCCAGCAGCCGCGGUAAU
This 452-nucleotide ribosomal RNA is filed under the name uncultured bacterium. RNAcentral describes it as "bacterial SSU rRNA". It matches the Rfam family "Bacterial small subunit ribosomal RNA", at positions 29 to 524 of the family's 1533-position model. The record is from RNAcentral.